Molecule: long non-coding RNA, 672 nt
Filed under: Olea europaea subsp. europaea
Lineage: Eukaryota; Viridiplantae; Streptophyta; Magnoliopsida; Lamiales; Oleaceae
Source: RNAcentral
GUGCCAGUUCAGAAUCCUUCCCUCUUUCAUCCGCCCUCAGCCCUUUAUGUAGGCUUAUGGAUUGAAAUUAGCUGCUCCAAUCAUGUCAAGCUAUAGAGUUUCAACUUGGGAUUUAGUGCCAUCGUCCAUUUGAUGAAAUUCUAUUGACUAGAGAUGUUGAUUGCGAUGGGAUCAUGAUGUUACACUACACCACAAAAAGGUUUUCGCAGCGGCCAAAAAACGUUGCAAAAGAUCUUUUGCAGCAUUUUGACGUGUAUUACAAAGGUCGAUGUUGUCGUUGAGGAAAGAGUUUUUGCAACGUUUAACAAACGUUGCAAAAGAUAGGUUUUAUGCCAGUGUCUCGAGUCGUCUCAUCACCUUCUUGAUUUAUUGGUCUAAGUAGCGUUAUCGUAUAGGGAAGAUAUUUGUUCUGUUGCAUUAGUAUGAUACUUCCUUAUGAUGUCUUUCAUAGUUCGACUCGAACCUCCAUCGAUUGAGUGUUUGCCCAAAGCGUCGAGCUAACCUUUUUAAAUCCUUUGAUAGACUAAAUUCAUUGACCGUGUGAAAGAGGGUUCAAGCUAAUUCGACUUGGGAUCUUAGGUCGACAACAAGAAGGUUGGUCAUGCCUCAAUCUAUCCAUGCAACUUUUACACUUUUCAACUUAAUGUUGACCAAGUUUAAGACAUUGUCAUU